AAAGCACAGAGAAGGAAAGUGUUUUCACCAAAUGUGAGACAUUCACUUUCCUUCUAGUCCACUGAGCUUAUUUGAGAAAGCCUUGUCAGCUUUGUGUUGUGGAAAGCACACAUCUGCAUGUUUUGAAAAUACUGUCUUUUAAUGACACCUUCAUUCUUCAACCUGAUUUUUAUAGUGUGGGUUUCAAAGCAACCCCUCAAACAAGCUUAACUAUGUUUAAGCCAUAAUGAAGGAAGAUCUCCUUGUGUUUGUGUCUGUCUUUCCAGCCUACAUCAGUUUGCUGUUGAGAGGACUGCAUACUUUAGAAGGAAGAGAAGUCUAACAUAAUCCAGGCUCAGAAAUGUCCCCAAUCUUCUUCAUUUCUCUUUGUGUAAUGUGGAAUUUUACCUUCUUUGUACCCUGCCUGAGUGAUCUUCACACAUCUUAGUGAGGAGCAAAAAAUUUGUGAAGAUUUCCCUGGAUUUGCAUGAAGGUCUCCCAGGGAAGCUCUUUUUAUGGGACGUGCGGCCUCUGAGGGACGAUUCCAGAAUGGCUGUCAAACACAAAAGUCUUCAGUUGUCAUCAGUGUGAGCAUAUUCAGGUGUUGGGCUUCCCAGCGCAGCGCUCCUGGGCAUUCGAGAAAUGAUACAACGGGAAGCUGCAGUCCAUGUUUGGGAAUUACUAGUGCAAGCUUCUCUGUGAUUGAGAUGACUUCUAAUGGGACACAGCAGUGUAGUCACAGGGAGAGAGAGAGGUUGAAAUGUGUGAAUCUCCAUGGGGAUUUUGAACAGUAUCUCAGUUUGGUUUUGCAUGUGUGUCUGGGUAUACGCAAAUGACAGCUUCAAAAUAAUUUCAUUGUGUGCUCCUCUCUACUGCCAAAACAUCUGAUGCAUCAGUAGAUUCCAUGGUCAUAAAGCUAAAUCCUACAUUAGUUUUAGACUAUAAGAAGCUGAAAUCAUUAAGUCCUUCUAGAAGACAAUGUUGGAUGCUAAGAGAAGAGGACCAUAUGAUGAUAAUUUUCACUCUGUUCACUGUCUUCAGCACUCAGUCAAUCUUUUGGAUGUUUUCUGGUGGGAGGAGGUGGAUGUGUGCUUGUGUCAGUCCUGUUACUGCGAAGAAUUUGAUUCAUUGGG
Long non-coding RNA from Hirundo rustica (Barn swallow), 1112 nucleotides. RefSeq lists it as uncharacterized. The record is from RefSeq and is a predicted model, not a curated record. NCBI's taxonomy places the organism in Eukaryota, Metazoa, Chordata, Aves, Passeriformes, Hirundinidae. The transcript is spliced from 4 exons.